AAAGUCGUAACAAGGUUUCCGUAGGUGAACCUGCGGAAGGAUCAUUAACUUUAAAUUUAUACGUCUGUGACUCAGCAAUGGGGAUCAGCGUAUAAAACUUAAAAACCAAAAUUUACCAUCCGUGAACUAUAAACAAACCGGAACGUGAUGUAUUGUCUUGAGCGAAAGUUCUUGCAUGCGUCAUUUGAAUACCAAUUCCACAAUUUAUUAACCAUAUUAACCCAUUACCGUAAUGUUAUUCUUCUGAAUAGCAUACUAAAACAAACCAAUAGCGUGCUGUUACUUUUUGAACACAUGCAUAUUAUAUUCUAAUGAAUAGAGAAAUACAACUCUUAACAAUGGAUAUCUUGGCUCUC
RNAcentral lists this unclassified non-coding RNA (356 nucleotides) under Glomeromycotina sp. RNAcentral describes it as "partial contains small subunit ribosomal RNA, internal transcribed spacer 1, and 5.8S ribosomal RNA". The stretch from base 1 to 47 matches the Rfam family "Eukaryotic small subunit ribosomal RNA", at positions 1785 to 1831 of the family's 1831-position model. Lineage: Eukaryota; Fungi; Glomeromycota. The record is from RNAcentral.